AUACGGAGGAUCCGAGCGUUAUCCGGAUUUAUUGGGUUUAAAGGGUGCGCAGGCGGCCAUUUAAGUCAGCGGUUAAAUCGUGGGGCUCAACCCCAUUCUGCCGUUGAUACUGGGUGGCUUGAUUGCGGUCGAGGUUGGCGGAAUUCGUUGUGUAGCGGUGAAAUGCAUAGAUAUGACGAAGAACACCGAUUGCGUAGGCAGCUAACCAGAUCGCAAAUGACGCUCAUGCACGAAAGUGCGAGGAUCGAACAGGAUUAGAUACCCUGGUAGUCCGCACAGUAAACGAUGAAUACUUGUUUUCGGCGAUAUAAUGUCGGAGGCAAAGCGAAAGCGAUAAGUAUUCCACCUGGGGAGUACGCCGGCAACGGUGAAACUCAAAUGAAUUGACGGGG
This 392-nucleotide ribosomal RNA is filed under the name uncultured bacterium. Its description in RNAcentral is "partial 16S ribosomal RNA". It matches the Rfam family "Bacterial small subunit ribosomal RNA", at positions 523 to 918 of the family's 1533-position model. The record is from RNAcentral.